Molecule: non-coding RNA, 1677 nt
Organism: Phalacrocorax carbo (great cormorant)
Lineage: Eukaryota; Metazoa; Chordata; Aves; Suliformes; Phalacrocoracidae
Source: RefSeq, a predicted model, not a curated record
CGGGCUGGAGCCAAGGGGCGAUAAGGCAUCGGCGCCUCCUGGCUUUCCUGGAAAGGCUGGGGAGUCCCGGUUUAAACGGGAAUGAAGCAGAAGACAGGAAAUUCGGGUUCUGCCUUCCCCCCCCCCCCCCCCCCCCCUCGGUGGGGAGUGUUGAGGGGGAUUAGGAGAGUAUGAAUGUUUUUAACAAAAUCCUCGAAAAGAGGGAAUUCCCUUUUUCCUAUAUUAAAAGAAAAUAAAUUGCAUUCCAUCCAACCUGGCAGACUGUGGUGGGGCUGGAAGUUGUGACAUCCCAAGUGAGCGGGAAGAACUGAUUGCAGUGCAAAAUCAGGUGGCAUACAUUAUGGAUGAACUGGAUGCAAGGAUCUGGAAGAUAUCAAUGGUAUUAUUUCCCUUCACUCCAGCUACCCAGCAAGGCAACUGCUCACUGAAGAUAUUCCUUGUUUGAUAGCUACCAGAGAUCAAAACCAGGCCCUCUGUUUGCAAUUUGUUCAAUGCAGGUUUAGCUCCUUCAUGCCUAUGGGAGAGCAGACAACUGCUUCAUGUGGCAUCAUCUAUUUCCUAUAAAACAGCAUGACAAUCCCAUCUGUCUUAACAGUGCUUUUGGUGACGUCAGGAAAGCUGUCUCUGAUCAAAGAGAGGUUAAGGAGCAAUGGCAUACCACGGGAGAGUGGUGUGAAGAUGAAUGUCUGAGAGUGCUCCAUGAGGAUCCCUGACUGCUGAAGGACCCAGCGGGAUCAAGCUGCUCAUCCGUCUAGGACAAGCAGGUAGGGAGAGGGGAACACAGAGCCACUCAUGGCUCAGAGACUUCUGGAGACAACACCUCUGACUCUGUGUUUUCCUCUUGCAGCAGAUGAGGCCGUGCACCCAGUUUUCAUGAACAGCACAUAGGGUAGUGUCAAGCGACAAGUAAGAGGCAGUCAUCUCACAAGAGCACUAUAGUGCCAGAGAGGGACACAGAGGGGGUGUGGUAUAAAUAAAUACAUUUCAGAAGUGGUUUACAAUGUUCCCCUAAUUUAAUGUCAACCUUAUUUUUUAUACCCAUUGUAUUUGCCAUGGCUUCACAUCCUUUCCUUUCAGCAGCAGCAUACUUACAUCAGAACAUCAAUUUGCCAUUGUAAUUAUAUUGGACUGUGGCCUCCACAGAACUCCACUAAAAUUGUUUCAUCUAAUUUUGUCUGAAGACCGUAGCAUUGUCUCCAUAGACUUUCACCAAAAUUGGCUCAUUUUGCUUCAGAUUAUAUUUUCCCUGCAGGGUUACAUUAUUAUGGCCUGCACUUGCUCCUCGGUGCCGGAAACACACACUUUAAUGCAGCUCAGGUCAUGAGUUAAAUGCCUUUUUAUGUUUUUUUGUGGGGCGAGCUCUGCGUACUUGUGGGCAGGGCACCACCAGAGACCUUAGCGCUGCCUGCCGUGAUGUGGAGAGGGCCAGAGGAGCCUGCAGUUGGGUGAGUAUGAAGCUGAAAUUAGCUUCUCGUUCAGGCAGCUCGAUGCCUCUGUUACUGGGGUGGGGGAAAGGUGAGGGCAUCUGCAGAAGCAGCGGGGACCAUGGCUUCCCUUGUUUCCAACAAUCAACCUGUUGUAGGGCUCUCACUCCUUUGUCAUUCAUAAGAGCUACUGCAGCGGAAAGGCACUUUCUUUUUUUCUAACUGAAAUGGCCUUUAAUAAAGCUAUUGUAUU